CCUUUAAACAUUUAGUAACAGAGUUCAUACUUGGGUUCAAUCAAUUCUUCACAAUUGGAAGAAUCACCGAAAAAACCUCUUCUUCUUCCCUCAAUCUUCAUCCUCCAUUCACAAAAAAAACCACAAAAAACUCCGAGACUCACCUUUCAAUUCUCUCUUCAAUUCUAUCUUCCAUAAUAUUUACGCUUGAAUCUUCAUCGCAUUUCACCUUUAAGCCUCAUCUUCAUCUUCAACCUUGA
This is a non-coding RNA of Vicia faba (fava bean), 239 nucleotides long. The record is from the annotation of a GenBank genome assembly. NCBI's taxonomy places the organism in Eukaryota, Viridiplantae, Streptophyta, Magnoliopsida, Fabales, Fabaceae.